Molecule: ribosomal RNA, 509 nt
Filed under: uncultured bacterium
Lineage: Bacteria
Description: bacterial SSU rRNA
Rfam family: Bacterial small subunit ribosomal RNA
Source: RNAcentral
CUGGCGGCGUGCCUAAUACAUGCAAGUCGAACGGUCUUUCUAUGGAAGCUUGCUUCCACUGAGAAGAUAGUGGCGAACGGGUGAGUAACACGUGGGUAACCUGCCCAUAAGAGGGGGAUAACAUCCGGAAACGGGUGCUAAUACCGCAUAGUUUUCUUGAUCGCAUGAUUGGGAAAGGAAAGACGGCCUUUGUGCUGUCGCUUAUGGAUGGACCCGCGGCGUAUUAGUUAGUUGGUGAGGUAACGGCUCACCAAGACGAUGAUACGUAGCCGACCUGAGAGGGUGAUCGGCCACAUUGGGACUGAGACACGGCCCAAACUCCUACGGGAGGCAGCAGUAGGGAAUCUUCCGCAAUGGACGAAAGUCUGACGGAGCAACGCCGCGUGAGUGAAGAAGGUUUUCGGAAUCGUAAAACUCUGUUGUCAGAGAAGAACAAGUUGGAGAGUAACUGCUCCAGCCUUGACGGUAUCUGACCAGAAAGCCACGGCUAACUACGUGCCAGCAGCUGC